GGAGAGAUGGCUCAGUAGUUAAGAGCACUGGCUGCUUUUCCAGAAGGCCCGGGUUCAAUUCCCAGUAUCCACA
This 73-nucleotide transfer RNA is filed under the name Cricetulus griseus (Chinese hamster). It matches the Rfam family "tRNA". Rfam says of the family: Transfer RNA (tRNA) molecules are approximately 80 nucleotides in length. Their secondary structure includes four short double-helical elements and three loops (D, anti-codon, and T loops). The record is from Rfam by way of RNAcentral. Lineage: Eukaryota; Metazoa; Chordata; Mammalia; Rodentia; Cricetidae.